Molecule: long non-coding RNA, 1693 nt
Organism: Papaver somniferum (opium poppy)
Lineage: Eukaryota; Viridiplantae; Streptophyta; Magnoliopsida; Ranunculales; Papaveraceae
Exons: 3
Source: RefSeq, a predicted model, not a curated record
CUUUUUCUUCCUUCUUUCUCUUUCUCUCUUCUCUUCUCUUCUCUGCUUCUUUUGUUCUCCGUUCGAGUGAGGAUUUGAGAAACCAUUUUAGUGAUUGUGAUAUCGAAUAAAGAGGGGAAGGAUUAUGUAGUAACUGUUGGUGGUGGUGUUCGAUGAAAGUUUGAAGAAGAUUAAAAGAAAGAUGAAUUGGGGAGAAGCAGAACUAGGGUUUCUCAGAGAAUUAAAUUAAAGUUCGAAUUAAUGAUGUAUAAGAAGAAUUAAAGACUAGGUUUAGAUGACUGACGAAAGGGUUGAAGUUAAUUAGGGUUUAUGGAGUUGUUCAUGAAGAAUUGUAGAAUUAGGGUUUCAUAAGAACAACCAAGGAAGCUGUAGAUGAUGAAAUUGAUAAUUUAGAAGAUUGAUUUGAGAUGGGUUUUAACAGUUUGAUCGAAUUAGGGUUCGGAUGAAGAGUAAUUAGAAAUUGAAGAAGUCAGGGUUCUGAAGCUGAGGGCAGUUGAAGCUCAUGACUGAAGCAGUUAACAGAGUGAGGGUUUGAUUGUGUUAGUAAGAAGGUGUUGAAGCUAUCGCUGGUGUUGAUUCAAGACUCGGGAGAAAAGGGUAAGUUGAACUUAAGAUUGCAGAGUUGGUUUAUUAUUAAGUUAUAUGUAUUUGAGUUUGAGUUUGGAAUUCAUUGCUUGGUUCUGAUGUAUAUGAUUGUGGUGAUAACUUAUACAUGGUUUAAGCGGUCUCAUAAUGAAUUGAUGAGAUGGAUUAGAUGUGGUGGUGAUGAUGUUGAAGUUACAUGGGAGGUUACAUGUGGAGGUUAGUAUGAUGAAUAUGUAGUUGGGGUUGAAUGCCAAGAAGGUGUAGUUAGAGAUGAAAUUGGUAUAGUGAUGAAAUGGGGUGAAGUUGCAGUUGUGGCUUAGUUAGAGAUGUGUUGAGUUACAUGGAGUUUUUGAAGGGUUGGAGUAAGUUACAGUUGUAACUAGUUGAACUGGUCUUGAGGAUGAUGAGUCCAAUGAAGGGAUUAGGCUGUUGUUGUUAUUGAAGAUGAGAUGAGGAGUUGUGUUGUUGCAUUCACUGAGCGAAUGUUACAGAUUGCAGAUGUAAGGGACUGGACAAGGGAAGGGUAGUUGUAGAUGAAGUUUGGGUGUUGUUUGAGUUGAAGCAUUCUGGAUGUUGCAGCUACUGCACUUGUAGGUAAGCUGGACUUGUAUUUGCAGUUGAAUUAUGAAGUUCUGCUGAAUUGAAUAUGCUAAUGUUGAAAUGGAGAAGUAAUAUUACAUUUAGUAUUUACAAGUGGUAAUGGUUUAGGAGGGUUUAAGGUUUUGAAAAUGUUAAUGAAGUUGCAAUUGCAGAUAUGAAGAUGUUUGUGGUAAAAGCUAUUACAACUGAAUUGUAGACAGUGUUUGAGUAUUGCUUGGAACUGCUAUUGCAGUUAGUCUCUAUUAACAAUGAUCGGUUCAAAGGAUAAACCAGUGGAUCGUGGAUCUCGAGGUAGGCGUGGCUUGUCAUCAAAAGAGUUUCAGAGACAGAUCAGAGUUGCGCAGCGAAAGCUUCAAGUGUUGAUUUUAUUAGUUGGUUAACUUCUGUUAUGUUUGUUAUGUUGUAAAUUUUAUUUAUAAACCAUAUGACUAUUAUUUAUGUAUCAUUUGAGAGAAGCGUUUGUAUAUAAUAUUUAUGUAUCAUUUGAGAGAAGCGUUUGUAUAAUAUA